This 1356-nucleotide ribosomal RNA is filed under the name Mycobacterium sp. DWMJ-1734A1. RNAcentral describes it as "bacterial SSU rRNA". It matches the Rfam family "Bacterial small subunit ribosomal RNA", at positions 82 to 1430 of the family's 1533-position model. Lineage: Bacteria; Bacillati; Actinomycetota; Actinomycetes; Mycobacteriales; Mycobacteriaceae. The record is from RNAcentral.
CGGGGGUACUCGAGUGGCGAACGGGUGAGUAACACGUGGGCAAUCUGCCCUGCACUUCGGGCAUAAGCCUGGGAAACUGGGAANUCUAAUACCGGAUAGGACCUCUAAGCGCAUGUCUUGUGGUGGAAAGCUUUUGCGGUGUGGGAUGGGCCCGCGGCCUAUCAGCUUGUUGGUGGGGUGAUGGCCUACCAAGGCGACGACGGGUAGCCGGCCUGAGAGGGUGUCCGGCCACACUGGGACUGAGAUACGGCCCAGACUCCUACGGGAGGCAGCAGUGGGGAAUAUUGCACAAUGGGCGCAAGCCUGAUGCAGCGACGCCGCGUGGGGGGAUGACGGCCUUCGGGUUGUAAACCUCUUUCACCAUCGACGAAGGUUCGGGUUUUCUCGGAUUGACGGUAGGUGGAGAAGAAGCACCGGCCAACUACGUGCCAGCAGCCGCGGUAAUACGUAGGGUGCGAGCGUUGUCCGGAAUUACUGGGCGUAAAGAGCUCGUAGGUGGUUUGUCGCGUUGUUCGUGAAAUCUCACGGCUUAACUGUGAGCGUGCGGGCGAUACGGGCAGACUAGAGUACUGCAGGGGAGACUGGAAUUCCUGGUGUAGCGGUGGAAUGCGCAGAUAUCAGGAGGAACACCGGUGGCGAAGGCGGGUCUCUGGGCAGUAACUGACGCUGAGGAGCGAAAGCGUGGGGAGCGAACAGGAUUAGAUACCCUGGUAGUCCACGCCGUAAACGGUGGGUACUAGGUGUGGGUUUCCUUCCUUGGGAUCCGUGCCGUAGCUAACGCAUUAAGUACCCCGCCUGGGGAGUACGGCCGCAAGGCUAAAACUCAAAGGAAUUGACGGGGGCCCGCACAAGCGGCGGAGCAUGUGGAUUAAUUCGAUGCAACGCGAAGAACCUUACCUGGGUUUGACAUGCACAGGACGCGUCUAGAGAUAGGCGUUCCCUUGUGGCCUGUGUGCAGGUGGUGCAUGGCUGUCGUCAGCUCGUGUCGUGAGAUGUUGGGUUAAGUCCCGCAACGAGCGCAACCCUUGUCUCAUGUUGCCAGCGGGUAAUGCCGGGGACUCGUGAGAGACUGCCGGGGUCAACUCGGAGGAAGGUGGGGAUGACGUCAAGUCAUCAUGCCCCUUAUGUCCAGGGCUUCACACAUGCUACAAUGGCCGGUACAAAGGGCUGCGAUGCCGCAAGGUUAAGCGAAUCCUUUUAAAGCCGGUCUCAGUUCGGAUUGGGGUCUGCAACUCGACCCCAUGAAGUCGGAGUCGCUAGUAAUCGCAGAUCAGCAACGCUGCGGUGAAUACGUUCCCGGGCCUUGUACACACCGCCCGUCACGUCAUGAAAGUCGGUACCCACACCCGAAGCCAG